RNAcentral lists this ribosomal RNA (442 nucleotides) under uncultured bacterium. RNAcentral describes it as "partial 16S ribosomal RNA". It matches the Rfam family "Bacterial small subunit ribosomal RNA", at positions 338 to 795 of the family's 1533-position model. The record is from RNAcentral.
CCUACGGGUGGCAGCAGUGGGGAAUAUUGGGCAAUGGACGCAAGUCUGACCCAGCAACGCCGCGUGAAGGAAGAAGGCUUUCGGGUUGUAAGCUUCUUUAAAGGGGGAAGAGAAGAAGACGUUACCCCUUGAAUAAGCCACGGCUAACUACGUGCCAGCAGCCGCGGUAAUACGUAGGUGGCAAGCGUUGUCCGGAUUUACUGGGGGUAAAGGGCGUGUAGCCGGAGAGGAAAGUCAGAUGUGAAAGCCACGGGCUCAACCCGUGACCGGCAUUUGAAACUGUUUACCUUGAGGGUGGUAGAGGUAAUGGGAAUUCCUUGUGUAGCGGUGAAAUGCGUAGAUAUAAGGAAGAACAUCAGUGGCGAAGGCGGAUUACUGGACGGUAACUGACGGUGAGGAGCGAAAGCGUGGGGAGCAAACAGGAUUAGAUACCCUUGUAGUC